CGUGUAGGCGGUCCGAUAAGUCGAGUGUGAAAGCCCGAGGCUCAACCUCGGAAGCGCACUCGAAACUGGCGGGCUUGAGUACGGGAGAGGGAAGUGGAAUUCCUGGUGUAGAGGUGAAAUUCGUAGAUAUCAGGAGGAACACCGGUGGCGAAGGCGGCUUCCUGGACCGAUACUGACGCUGAGACGCGAAAGCGUGGGGAGCAAACA
RNAcentral lists this ribosomal RNA (207 nucleotides) under uncultured delta proteobacterium. RNAcentral's name for it is "partial 16S ribosomal RNA". It matches the Rfam family "Bacterial small subunit ribosomal RNA", at positions 568 to 774 of the family's 1533-position model. Lineage: Bacteria; Deltaproteobacteria. The record is from RNAcentral.